GUGUCAGCAGCCGCGGUAAGACGAACCGUGCGAACGUUAAUCGGAUUCAUUGGGCUUAAAGGGCGCGUAGGCGGCGGCGUAAGUUCGUGGUGAAAUCCCAUCGGCUCAACCGUGGAAUUGCUUCGAAUACUGCGUCGCUCGAGGGAGAUAGGGGACCGCAGAACUGCCGGUGGAGCGGUGAAAUGUGUUGAUAUCGGCGGGAAUGCCAGUGCCGAAAGGGGCGGUCUGGACCUCUUCUGACGCUGAGGCGCGAAAGCUAGGGGAGCGAACGGGAUUAGAUACCCCUGUAGUCC
This 293-nucleotide ribosomal RNA is filed under the name uncultured bacterium. RNAcentral's name for it is "partial 16S ribosomal RNA". It matches the Rfam family "Bacterial small subunit ribosomal RNA", at positions 505 to 796 of the family's 1533-position model. The record is from RNAcentral.